UAUCCUUUCAAAUUUUCUGAUAGUUAAUAUUUUUGGUUAUUCGAUUUUCGCAGGUCAAUGAGUUGAGGACUUAAAACACCAAACAGUCUUUGAACGAUUGGCGUUUUAACAUCAAUGGUUAUGAGCACAGAUUCGAUCCAUUAGUUGCAAAACGGCAAAAGAAGCACGAAGAAAUGGUUGUUAACAAUAUCAAACAACCCAAGUAGCAAUUGCAAUAAAUUCUGGAGGGACCAUUGGAAGAAUCAGAUGAGUCAUCACUCGGAUUUAUUAAACAAACUGUCCCAUUUCGACAGCUUGUAUGAAUUUUUAAUUAAUAAAAGAGUUGGGCAUUAGUUCCAAGACAAAUAUGAGAAAAAUACGAAUUGGAACUCAAAUUAGUUGGA
Molecule: long non-coding RNA, 383 nt
Organism: Hibiscus syriacus
Lineage: Eukaryota; Viridiplantae; Streptophyta; Magnoliopsida; Malvales; Malvaceae
Exons: 2
Source: RefSeq, a predicted model, not a curated record